AGAGUUUGAUCAUGGCUCAGAUUGAACGCUGGCGGCAGGCCUAACACAUGCAAGUCGAACGGUAACAGGAAGAAGCUUGCUUCUUUGCUGACGAGUGGCGGACGGGUGAGUAAUGUCUGGGAAACUGCCUGAUGGAGGGGGAUAACUACUGGAAACGGUAGCUAAUACCGCAUAACGUCGCAAGACCAAAGAGGGGGACCUUCGGGCCUCUUGCCAUCGGAUGUGCCCAGAUGGGAUUAGCUAGUAGGUGGGGUAACGGCUCACCUAGGCGACGAUCCCUAGCUGGUCUGAGAGGAUGACCAGCCACACUGGAACUGAGACACGGUCCAGACUCCUACGGGAGGCAGCAGUGGGGAAUAUUGCACAAUGGGCGCAAGCCUGAUGCAGCCAUGCCGCGUGUAUGAAGAAGGCCUUCGGGUUGUAAAGUACUUUCAGCGGGGAGGAAGGGAGUAAAGUUAAUACCUUUGCUCAUUGACGUUACCCGCAGAAGAAGCACCGGCUAACUCCGUGCCAGCAGCCGCGGUAAUACGGAGGGUGCAAGCGUUAAUCGGAAUUACUGGGCGUAAAGCGCACGCAGGCGGUUUGUUAAGUCAGAUGUGAAAUCCCCGGGCUCAACCUGGGAACUGCAUCUGAUACUGGCAAGCUUGAGUCUCGUAGAGGGGGGUAGAAUUCCAGGUGUAGCGGUGAAAUGCGUAGAGAUCUGGAGGAAUACCGGUGGCGAAGGCGGCCCCCUGGACGAAGACUGACGCUCAGGUGCGAAAGCGUGGGGAGCAAACAGGAUUAGAUACCCUGGUAGUCCACGCCGUAAACGAUGUCGACUUGGAGGUUGUGCCCUUGAGGCGUGGCUUCCGGAGCUAACGCGUUAAGUCGACCGCCUGGGGAGUACGGCCGCAAGGUUAAAACUCAAAUGAAUUGACGGGGGCCCGCACAAGCGGUGGAGCAUGUGGUUUAAUUCGAUGCAACGCGAAGAACCUUACCUGGUCUUGACAUCCACAGAACUUUCCAGAGAUGGAUUGGUGCCUUCGGGAACUGUGAGACAGGUGCUGCAUGGCUGUCGUCAGCUCGUGUUGUGAAAUGUUGGGUUAAGUCCCGCAACGAGCGCAACCCUUAUCUUUUGUUGCCAGCGGUCCGGCCGGGAACUCAAAGGAGACUGCCAGUGAUAAACUGGAGGAAGGUGGGGAUGACGUCAAGUCAUCAUGGCCCCUUACGACCAGGGCUACACACGUGCUACAAUGGCGCAUACAAAGAGAAGCGACCUCGCGAGAGCAAGCGGACCUCAGAAAGUGCGUCGUAGUCCGGAUUGGAGUCUGCAACUCGACUCCAUGAAGUCGGAAUCGCUAGUAAUCGUGGAUCAGAAUGCCACGGUGAAUACGUUCCCGGGCCUUGUACACACCGCCCGUCACACCAUGGGAGUGGGUUGCAAAAGAAGUAGGUAGCUUAACCUUCGGGAGGGCGCUUACCACUUUGUGAUUCAUGACUGGGGUGAAGUCGUAACAAGGUAACCGUAGGGGAACCUGCGGUUG
This 1523-nucleotide ribosomal RNA is filed under the name metagenome. RNAcentral describes it as "bacterial SSU rRNA". It matches the Rfam family "Bacterial small subunit ribosomal RNA". The record is from RNAcentral.